Molecule: ribosomal RNA, 253 nt
Filed under: uncultured bacterium
Lineage: Bacteria
Description: partial 16S ribosomal RNA
Rfam family: Bacterial small subunit ribosomal RNA
Source: RNAcentral
UACGGGGGGGGCAAGCGUUGUUCGGAAUUACUGGGCGUAAAGGGCUCGUAGGCGGCCAACUAAGUCAGACGUGAAAUCCCUCGGCUUAACCGGGGAACUGCGUCUGAUACUGGAUGGCUAGAGUGUGGGAGAGGGAUGCGGAAUUCCAGGUGUAGCGGUGAAAUGCGUAGAUAUGUGGAAGAAUACCGGUGGUGAAGACGGUUUUCUGUACUAAACCUGACGCUGAGGCGCGAAAGCUAGGGGAGCAAACAGG